This 668-nucleotide ribosomal RNA is filed under the name Carinigera buresi pharsalica. RNAcentral's name for it is "partial 12S ribosomal RNA". The record is from RNAcentral. Lineage: Eukaryota; Metazoa; Mollusca; Gastropoda; Stylommatophora; Clausiliidae.
UUCCACUUUAAUUUGAUGGGAUCAGUAAGCUUUAAACAUGUUUAAAUAUGGAAUUUAAAAGGGGUAAAUAAUUAUUUUUCCAGUUUAAGAUAUUAAAUAAUAUAAGAAAAUAUAAUUUAGACAGUUUAUUAGAUUAGGUUUAUUAGGUGCCAGCAACCGCGGUCAUACCUAAUAAUUAAAUUUACAACAAUAUUAAAUAAUAUUAAUUCACGUUUUAAUAUAUGAUAAUAUAUAGUGAAAUACUAUUUCGUGUACAUUUCUUUAAAAACGUAUAAAAAAAGAAAUCCAUAGCUAAAACUAGGAUUAGAUACCCUACUAUUGUGGUUUAUUAAUUAUUUACUAAGAAGUAAUAACUAGAUUUAAAACUUAAAAGUUAUGGCGGCUAAUCAAAACAAUUAGGGGAACUUACCAUGUAAUUGAUAACCACCAAGCACAAUCAUACUUACUAUAAUAAUUUGUAUACCGUUGUCUUCAUGAACCCCCGGAGGGGGUUCAUAAAAAUAUUUACUUAUUUAAAGAUAAAUCAAGGUGCAGUCCACUUAAUAAGAAAUAAGGUGAGUUACAGUAAAAUAUUUUUUCGAAAUAUAUAAUGAAAUAAAUUAUGAAGUUGGACUUAAAAGUACUAUUUAAUAAAAUAAAUAUACUAGGAAUGUGUAUUGCUUAGUGUA